GAUAAACGCUGGCGGCGUGCCUAAUACAUGCAAGUCGAGCGAACGGACGAGAAGCUUGCUUCUCUGAUGUUAGCGGCGGACGGGUGAGUAACACGUGGAUAACCUACCUAUAAGACUGGGAUAACUUCGGGAAACCGGAGCUGAUACCGGAUAAUAUUUUGAACCGCAUGGUUCAAAAGUGAAAGACGGUCUUGCUGUCACUUAUAGAUGGAUCCGCGCUGCAUUAGCUAGUUGGUAAGGUAACGGCUUACCAAGGCAACGAUGCAUAGCCGACCUGAGAGGGUGAUCGGCCACACUGGAACUGAGACACGGUCCGGACUCCUACGGGAGGCAGCAGUAGGGAAUCUUCCGCAAUGGGCGAAAGCCUGACGGAGCAACGCCGCGUGAGUGAUGAAGGUCUUCGGAUCGUAAAACUCUGUUAUUAGGGAAGAACAUAUGUGUAAGUAACUGUGCACAUCUUGACGGUACCUAAUCAGAAAGCCACGGCUAACUACGUGCCAGCAGCCGCGGUAAUACGUAGGUGGCAAGCGUUAUCCGGAAUUAUUGGGCGUAAAGCGCGCGUAGGCGGUUUUUUAAGUCUGAUGUGAAAGCCCACGGCUCAACCGUGGAGGGUCAUUGGAAACUGGAAAACUUGAGUGCAGAAGAGGAAAGUGGAAUUCCAUGUGUAGCGGUGAAAUGCGCAGAGAUAUGGAGGAACACCAGUGGCGAAGGCGACUUUCUGGUCUGUAACUGACGCUGAUGUGCGAAAGCGUGGGGAUCAAACAGGAUUAGAUACCCUGGUAGUCCACGCCGUAAACGAUGAGUGCUAAGUGUUAGGGGGUUUCCGCCCCUUAGUGCUGCAGCUAACGCAUUAAGCACUCCGCCUGGGGAGUACGACCGCAAGGUUGAAACUCAAAGGAAUUGACGGGGACCCGCACAAGCGGUGGAGCAUGUGGUUUAAUUCGAAGCAACGCGAAGAACCUUACCAAAUCUUGACAUCCUUUGACAACUCUAGAGAUAGAGCCUUCCCCUUCGGGGGACAAAGUGACAGGUGGUGCAUGGUUGUCGUCAGCUCGUGUCGUGAGAUGUUGGGUUAAGUCCCGCAACGAGCGCAACCCUUAAGCUUAGUUGCCAUCAUUAAGUUGGGCACUCUAAGUUGACUGCCGGUGACAAACCGGAGGAAGGUGGGGAUGACGUCAAAUCAUCAUGCCCCUUAUGAUUUGGGCUACACACGUGCUACAAUGGACAAUACAAAGGGCAGCGAAACCGCGAGGUCAAGCAAAUCCCAUAAAGUUGUUCUCAGUUCGGAUUGUAGUCUGCAACUCGACUACAUGAAGCUGGAAUCGCUAGUAAUCGUAGAUCAGCAUGCUACGGUGAAUACGUUCCCGGGUCU
Molecule: ribosomal RNA, 1372 nt
Filed under: uncultured bacterium
Lineage: Bacteria
Description: bacterial SSU rRNA
Rfam family: Bacterial small subunit ribosomal RNA
Source: RNAcentral